GUCUAAGUGCCUACCACAAGACCACAGAUUCAGGUGAGCAGUGGGUUGAAUAGUGUUCCCUGGAGAAGCUACUAUGUUCAAGUCCUAAUUCCUGGUACCGGUGACUAUAAACUUAUUUGGAAAUAAGAUCUCUUCUGAUGAAAUCAAGUAAAGAUAAGGUUCUAUUGGAAUAGGGUGGGUUCUAAAUUGGUGACCAAUAUCUUAAUAAGAAGAAAACAAGGCUCAAAGACACACACACAUGGAGAAGAAGACCAUGUGAAGGUUGAUGGAGGCGGAGAUUGGAGGCAGGAAGCCGAGGAUCUCAGGCAACCACCAGGAACUGGGAAGAGGCAAGGAAGGCCUUUCUCCUAGAGUUUUUGGAGGGAGCCUAGCCUGGCUGCCCCCUUCAUUUUGUGCUACUAGCUUCCAGAACUAAGAGAAUCAAUUUCUGCUGUUUCAAGCCGCCCACUUUAUGGUAACCCUAGGAAACUAACACAAGAGCUAUCGUCAUGAAAAUAAGACCUGGGAGUUGCUAAUGAUUCGAAGAGUUGAACGUAUAGCUUCCUUGGAUCUACUGUGUGGCUGGGAGGGAGGAAGACCAUGAGGGUUCGGAAAGGGAGCCUUCCUAACGGUUUCGAUGAUGCUGUGUCCUGGUCCCCGCAGGGCUCCCUCUGCCAGUAGAGCAGGCCCUGCCUUGUUAUCGGUGAAGCGGGUCCUGCCUUGCCUGGAAACCUCAAACAACUUCACCCAAGACAGUUAUGCUGCAAAGGUGUUACUCCUGAGUGCACUGCACUAAACACUUCCUGCACUCAAUCUACAUCUUAGAGUCUGUUACCAGCAGAAGGGGAUCUAAGACA
This is a long non-coding RNA of Artibeus jamaicensis (Jamaican fruit-eating bat), 836 nucleotides long. RefSeq lists it as uncharacterized. The transcript has 3 exons. The record is from RefSeq and is a predicted model, not a curated record. Lineage: Eukaryota; Metazoa; Chordata; Mammalia; Chiroptera; Phyllostomidae.